GACGAACGCUGGCGGCGUGCUUAACACAUGCAAGUCGAACGGAAAGGCCCUGCUUUUGUGGGGUGCUCGAGUGGCGAACGGGUGAGUAACACGUGAAUAACCUGCCCUUGACUUUGGGAUAACUUCAGGAAACUGGGGCUAAUACCGGAUAGGAGCUCCUGCUGCAUGGUGGGGGUUGGAAAGUUUCGGCGGUUGGGGAUGGACUCGCGGCUUAUCACCUUGUUGGUGGGGUAGUGGCUUACCAAGGCUUUGACGGGUUGCCGGCCUGAGAGGGUGACCGGCCACAUUGGGACUGAGAUACGGCCCAGACUCCUACGGGAGGCAGCAGUGGGGAAUAUUGCACAAUGGGCGGAAGCCUGAUGCAGCAACGCCGCGUGCGGGAUGACGGCCUUCGGGUUGUAAACCGCUUUCGCCUGUGACGAAGCGUGAGUGACGGUAAUGGGUAAAGAAGCACCGGCUAACUACGUG
Molecule: ribosomal RNA, 468 nt
Filed under: uncultured bacterium
Lineage: Bacteria
Description: partial 16S ribosomal RNA
Rfam family: Bacterial small subunit ribosomal RNA
Source: RNAcentral